CAUAAACCUUUGGUAUCAGAGGCCCGGUCUGAGGCCUGAAGUAAUGGUCAAGACAUUGCAAACAUAAAGCAAAGUUAGGCCGUGAGCCAGAGGCAGGCCCUGCUCACAGAAGUUGGCAAGAGGAAGGCUGCUAAAAGAACGUGUGCCAGGAUGGCACCAGAAUGGCUGGGUACGAACACAUCCCACACGGAUAACAAGGAACAGGCAAACCCAGCCUAAAGACAGUAUAAAAGGACAAUAUGAUGGAUAGGCAAUAAAAAAGGACAAUACGAUUGAUAGACAGCAUGAUGGAUAGACUUAUUUGGUCAAACCAACCUGUACCAGGAGAAAGGCAACACCCUAAUGCAUACGGGGGCUGUACCUCAGUGUGUUCAAUGAUGUGUAACCUGUUUAUACCUGGGUAUAAGAACGCCUGAGUGGACGUCUUUGUCUAGCCUAGGGGGCAGUGGAGUGUCCCACCACUGACUGACCUGGUCCAUUGUCAGGGAGCACAUAUGUACUAGCAGAACUGUAGACAUCUGAUCCGGGGAGCUAGAGGCUGUGUUUCAUUUGACAAUAAACCUGGCCAGGUGCUUCGUGCCUUAUCAGAGUCUUUGGUCAUUGGGGGUUCUCCUGUGGUCUGCUGUGUCGGCAAUCUGCGCAGAGCCGGGGCAGCACACAGAGGGAACACGCACGCAGCCGACUCUUAUCAACAUUAAACAGAGCAGAGCACCACACCAAUGGCGUCUGAUAACACUGGUGACCCCGACCGCUGAUCUGGUGAGUAAGCGAGCUGUCCGCUGUAGGAAUCGUGAUCUAACAUGACAGAAAACCACGAGCUAGGGAACCCCCUUAACCCUUCCCUGCAAAUCCCCACAGAGUUUUAAAAAUAUAAUGGGGAAAAACAUGUAAUGCAAUCUGUAAGGCUAGCGCAGAGACUGUAGUCGUAAAAUGUAAACUAUUGCAAAUUAUAAUGAUGGCUAUUACAGCAUGCACAAAAUUGGUGGGGCAAUAGCAGUAACAAAGAAGGAGUUAAAAUAAUCAAAAGGAGAUACAAAGCCCUGGAAUGCUCCCACCCCCCCCUGCAGGGUGGCGAGCAGCCCAGAGACAACCAGCACAGAAACAGAUUAAAACAUUGGAAACAGCUGCAAGGCUACAAAAAAUACAUGUGCCGUCCCCAGUUAUAAAUAUUUGCGAUCAACAGCAGGUUUCAGGUAGCUCCCCUUUGCCUGAAGAAUGGGGACAGAAUGGAAGAAGGUGGCCCUAGUAAAAUUAAAAGCUGUAACAGGGUCCUCUGCAGUGCAACCACCACCUUAUGAUAAAAGCCAGGUUCUGGUACAACCUAAACCGUGACCUAGACUGGUGCCUGUCAGAACGGGACAAGUAAGUGCACAGAUGGAAAAGGUAGCACACAAUACUGUCAUGGAAUUGAAGGAAAAUAUGGAACAGUUCACAGAGCACAUUCGGAGACAGGAGCUGCGACUCGAUUGCAGGGUAGUGAAUAAAAAGGAAUUUCAAAGUAAAAACUGAAAUUAAGCAGGUUAACAACUAGAAUUGAUGCAUUAACGCAGGGAGUUGCCCCAAAACAGUUAACUGCAGCAAAAAAGGGCACUCCCACCAUCUAUUUGGCAUGCAAACAAAAGCAACAGAUGCUGGGGGAACAAAUUCAGGUUUUACAAGAGCAGGUAAUAACUCCCACUCUCCUCUCAAAGCCAGGAUAAAAACCAGGGGCACAGUCUCAACUGUGCAGGUUUCCAACUGCUUUGACCCAUGGAACCAUACUUGGUGCUCAUAUCUAAAAAUAUAACCUUCUUUCUCAAAUAUUUUUGUAUAACAGUUAAGUUUUUUCUUUUAUAUGCUUUCUCAGUUUGCUAAACUCGCCGCUGUUGCCCGUACUUUCAAAUAUCUUGAUGCAGUUAAUCUCUCAUGGCUCAGAUCUUGCUACCUUCCUAGGUUGCUCUUUGCCCCCCCCCCCCCGCCCCUUUUCCCCGACCUCUCUUCACUUCUGCUCUCUCUUUGUUUAAAAGUUAAAAGUUAUAGUUUUUACAGAAAUCUCCAAAAGAUAAAGCAAUUGAAAACAGAACAAAACAAGAAACAAAAAGGAGAUAAGUGGGUCCUUAAAUUUGAGCAGUGACUGAGAGAGUGGAACCCGAAUCCCGGAGAAAUGAGAGACCAUUUCAAGCUUGAAAUAUACCAGAGAUUCAGAUGUGGCUCCGCUCUUCGUACAGAGUUCUUUCCAACCUUGAUUUUCAUAGAUUCAUAGAUUCCAAGGCCAGAAGGGUCCAUUGUGAUCAUCUAGUCUGACUUCCUAGGACACAGGACAGGCCAGAGAACUGCUCCCAAAUAAUUGCUGAAGCAGAUCUGUUAGAAAAAUAUCCCAUAUUGAUUUUAAAAUUGUCAAUGCUGAAGAAUUCACCAUGACCCUGACACACCUGAUGGCUAACACAGCAGGCAGAAAUCAAACGUCCAUCUCAGAAUUCAUCCUCCUGGGAUUUGGAAAUCUUCCAGAACUCAGCUUCUUCUCUUCCUGCUGUUUCUAGCGAUCUACAUGGUGACUGUGGCUGGGAACAUCCUCAUUGUUGCACUAGUUGUGACUGAUCAGCACCUUCAUACCCCCAUGUACUUCUUCCUGGGGAACUUGUCCUGCUUGGAAACCUGUUACAGCUCCAGCAUCCUGCCUAGGAUGCUGGCCAGUCUCCUGACUGGGGACAGAACCAUCUCAAGGAGAAAAGUAAUUUUCUUUAAUGUGAAAAUGUAAAACAGAGAGGAAAUAACACUUUCUACAAACCUACCCUCCCUGUCUUUAAAACAAGAAUGAAGAAGUGAAAACUGAGGCCAAAGGACUUCAAACAUGACAGGAGAAGAAAGUCCUCAGUUAUAGAAGUCCCUUCCUGCCCAAAACUUCUCAGGAUUUUCAGAAGUUCAAUCAAAGAGAUUGUUAACAAGUCCAAUUGAGGUGGUAGGCUACCCUCAAAAGGGGCACUGUGAAUGGUCAACUGGCCUAAAUCCUGAGAUCCUUCCAAUGAUUUCCUUUAUGUGCGUUUGGCAGAGGCAGGAGCAGCUGGGGAAUGAGAAUCCUGACACGCAGAUGUGAUCAAGCCAAGGGCACCCAUGAGUGAUACCAGCAUGUCUCAUGUAGCAAGAGGCUGUUGCAAUGGAAUGGGAUGUUGCUGCAGAAAUUUGCAUCCGGUGAGUGAAUGCAGCAGCGACAGAGAUGAAGACAUGCAGUGCGGGAUGGGCAGUCUAAGGCCUUGGCUAUACUGGAGAGUUGCAGCGCUGGUGGUUGUUUUACAGCGCUGCAACUUACUCCCCGUCCACACUGGCAAGGCACAUACAGCGCUGUAUCUCCCUGGCUACAGCGCUGGUUGUACUCCACAUGGACGAGAGGAAUAAAGAGAACAGCGCUGGAGUGCCAGUGUAAACAGUGAUUAAUCUUACUAUGCUGUAACUGACUUCCGAAAUGUUCCCAUAAUGCUUUUAACUAAAGAACUCUCUUUGUUUUGUUGUAAACUCGGGGCUCCCGGAGCUGCUUGUCUUAAAAACAAACACAGCAAUUGUUUGCUCGAGCAGAGGCAGACAAGGAAUGUCCACAGCUAGUGUUUGCUUGAGGAGAGAAACAGCGCUGCAGGGGGCAGGGGAGGGAGUCUGUUGGAGCAGCUGCUUAUCUGGUCUGAAGGCUAUUUGCAUUUAAGAGUGAAGUGGGUGAGGGAAGUGGUCAGAAUUUGCAAGGCAGGGAACUGACACAGUGUUGGCUCCAAAAAUCCACUCUCUCUCUCUCCCCCACGCUCCCUGUCACACUCCACCCCACCCACCUCUUUUGAAAAGCACGUUGCAGCCACUUGAAUGCUGGGAUAGCUGCCCAUAAUGCACCACUCCCAACACCACUGCAAAUGCUGGAAAUGUGGCCACACUGCAGCGCUGGUAGCUGUCAGUGUGGCCACACUGCAGCUAUUUCCCUACACAGCUGUACGAAGACAGCUUUAACUCCCAGCACUGUACAGCUGGAAGUGUAGCCAAACCCUAACAAAGAAACCUGAGCACUGCUCAGCACCCACUCACUGGUGAUGACACAAGUUGCAGCUAGUUUGUAGUGGCAAAUCUUGGCUUUGUCAUCAGUGAAUCCCUGGCAGGGCCCAAUUAGCGGGCUUAGGUCACUGAGCUGCACGGGUGUGCAAUGCAUUGUUCUGCCUGCAUUUUGCUGGGGUUACAGUCUGGGCUGCUCAUUGGGAACCAGUUCUCAUGUCCAGGGCUGGCUGCAAGACCAGGCUCGGUUACCUGUUGUCAGGAGGCCUUUUCUGCUAGGUGAGAGACUUGCCUGGUUCUAAGAUCCAGGACACCAUUGUCUUGUUUAUUUUUGUGUAGUUCACUUCUGUUCUGGGACUGCUGCCUCAUUGGUGUAAUUUCCUUCAUUCAAAAAUGUGUUUGUUUUGGGAUUUUUUUCACCUCAUUAAAAAAAUGG
Gopherus flavomarginatus (Mexican gopher tortoise) is the source of this 4438-nucleotide RNA transcript. It is a transcript of the gene named olfactory receptor 10A7-like, with no coding region annotated. The transcript is spliced from 6 exons. NCBI's taxonomy places the organism in Eukaryota, Metazoa, Chordata, Testudines, Testudinidae. The record is from RefSeq and is a predicted model, not a curated record.